Molecule: ribosomal RNA, 301 nt
Filed under: uncultured bacterium
Lineage: Bacteria
Description: partial 16S ribosomal RNA
Rfam family: Bacterial small subunit ribosomal RNA
Source: RNAcentral
CAGCCGCCGCGGUAAGACAGAGGAUGCAAGCGUUAUCCGGAAUGAUUGGGCGUAAAGCGAGCGCAGGCGGUUCCUUAAGUCUGAUGUGAAAGCCCCCGGCUCAACCGGGGAGGGUCAUUGGAAACUGGGAAACUUGAGUGCAGAAGAGGAGAGUGGAAUUCCACGUGUAGCGGUGAAAUGCGUGGAGAUGUGGAGGAACACCAGUGGCGAAGGCGACUCUCUGGUCUGUAACUGACGCUGAGGAGCGAAAGCGUGGGGAGCGAACAGGAUUAGAUACCCGUGUAGUCCCUGUCUCUUAUAC